This 1504-nucleotide long non-coding RNA is filed under the name Mus pahari (shrew mouse). Its description in RNAcentral is "predicted gene, 26912 (MGP_PahariEiJ_G0006365.1)". The record is from RNAcentral. Lineage: Eukaryota; Metazoa; Chordata; Mammalia; Rodentia; Muridae.
GCUCCCCGCCCCACCCGAGCUCUUGCUCCAAGGGGGGCGGUGUCCUACAGAGAACCCAGGCUUUUCCAGGGAACAUGGCCGUUGCCGGUCAGAGCUCCGAGAAUAUUUGCAGCGAGAAAACUAGUGAACUAACGCCGUCGUCAUGGCUGAAUCAAACUUAGAAUACGGAAAUCCAGACAGAAAGCGAAGAACCACCGAACUUCACAGCAUCAAGUCACCAGCAUCUGCUAGGACCUGAGCUGCCUUCCUGCGGACCUGAACCCCGCGCUAGCCCGCUCCGCAAGGUCUGAUUAUUUAUUUGUCAUUCUUAAAGACUAUUUUUGACUGGACUCAGAAGUGGAAACUCUCAGCGGGAACGGCGCACGCCACUUGGCGAUCUGUUCCUGGAGGUUUUCUUUGGCUUGCUUCAUUUUCUUGGCCAAAUGUUUAGCAUGUUCUACAGCCUCCUCCUCGUUUCCCCAGUGCCCGUGCGUACGAAGAACCGCGGUGAGUUUCGGACAGCCGGUGGCUGCGAUUUCCCUGUUAUGGACUUUCAGCUUCCUCCUAACACGGCCUGGAAUUCACUUGUAGCUUUCUUUCAACUCGAGGCAGCUCUCCCGCCCCGGCCUUCCGAAUACUAAGAUUACAGGCGCGCGCCACCACGCCAGGCUCAAAAAAAUGUCUUUAUAAAUCGUUGCUAAGUACAGUAACGCAUGGAGUGAACGAGACCGAAGUUUUUCUCAAAAAACAAAACAAACAAAAGAGCCACGACCUCUGCAUGUUGGUUUAAGUUCGGACAAUAUCACGGACUUACACGCAAAGACUACUUUGUAUCUGGCAACCCCGUGGCCAGAGUCACACCGCUUUGCAGAUUCCACUAAAACCACACUCAAAAAGGUGUGAGGCAGAGGCAGGAGGCUGGAAGCAUUUCCAGAUAGACCCCGACUCUUCAAGCCAGUAAAUAACUUAGCUGGGUGAGGUGGCGUUUGCUCACCUGUAACUCCAGCAUCUGGGAAGUGGAGACGGGGAUCAAGAGUUCAAGGUGGCGCGGUCGAGUUCGAGGCCACCUGGUUUUUACCCUCCCUUUCAGCAAGACGCCUACUGUCACGGAAGAACUCUAAUCCUCAGAGUGGCCAGAUGCCUGAGUUGAUUCUCCCGGCCUUCUUCACUAAGGCUCCAUGACUCUAAGCUUGUUCUUUCUCUCCUCUCUGCAGUGGCUAGUGAUCAAUCUCAUGGCUUUGUGCACACAAAGCCGAGUUCAAUCACUGAGUUCUAGUCUGCUCCAUGCCUUCGUCUUUUAUCUUUGUCUUUACAUAUUUAAACUUUGACUUAAAGCUCUGGAACACACGGACACAAGGAAAGCAGAACAUUUUCCAUACAGAAACUGAAGUCCUGCUUGUGAAUUCUGGGCUUGGGGUGAGAUGGAGGAGUAGAAAACAAAUAGGGAAAUGAGAAUAAUUUAAAUGUUUCUCUGCACAAUAUGUACGUAUGAAAACUGUUAGUCAAAAAAAAGAAAAAAAAUAGA